RNAcentral lists this ribosomal RNA (808 nucleotides) under uncultured bacterium. RNAcentral describes it as "bacterial SSU rRNA". It matches the Rfam family "Bacterial small subunit ribosomal RNA", at positions 8 to 815 of the family's 1533-position model. The record is from RNAcentral.
AGAGUUUGAUCCUGGCUCAGGACGAACGCUGGCGGCGCGCCUAACACAUGCAAGUCGAACGGAGAUUACAGGCGGAAGUUUUCGGAUGGAAGCUUGUAAACUUAGUGGCGGACGGGUGAGUAACACGUGAGCAACCUGCCUAUCAGAGGGGGAUAACGAUUGGAAACGAUCGCUAAUACCGCAUGACAUAGCGAAACCGCAUGGUUUUGCUAUCAAAGAUUUUAUCGCUGAUAGAUGGGCUCGCGUCCGAUUAGAUAGUUGGUGGGGUAACGGCCUACCAAGUCGACGAUCGGUAGCCGGACUGAGAGGUCGAACGGCCACAUUGGGACUGAGACACGGCCCAGACUCCUACGGGAGGCAGCAGUGGGGGAUAUUGCACAAUGGGGGAAACCCUGAUGCAGCGACGCCGCGUGAGGGAAGACGGUCCUCUGGAUUGUAAACCUCUGUCUUCGGGGACGAAACGAGACGGUACCCGAGGAGGAAGCCACGGCUAACUACGUGCCAGCAGCCGCGGUAAUACGUAGGUGGCAAGCGUUGUCCGGAAUUACUGGGUGUAAAGGGAGCGUAGGCGGGCAGGCAAGUCAGGCGUGAAAUAUAUCGGCUCAACCGGUAACGGCGCUUGAAACUGCAGGUCUUGAGUGAAGUAGAGGUUGGCGGAAUUCCUAGUGUAGCGGUGAAAUGCGUAGAUAUUAGGAGGAACACCAGUGGCGAAGGCGGCCAACUGGGCUUUUACUGACGCUGAGGCUCGAAAGUGUGGGGAGCAAACAGGAUUAGAUACCCUGGUAGUCCACACCGUAAACGAUGAUUA